GUCCGGGUGAGUUUCCUUUGCCAAUUUGCGAAAAGAAGCUUUGAUUUCAUCGCUGGAGCUGGUCUCUGAAACUCCCAAAAUGUCGUAUGCGUUCUCUCCAGAAAAUUCAGAUCGAACUGAGGCUGAGUCACUGCUACAGGUGAAUAGCCGAAUUCCACAACUCGAAUAACAUAAUACUAGGCGAUAAGAGCUAGACUUGCCUCGACUUUGAAG
This 213-nucleotide unclassified non-coding RNA is filed under the name Hevea brasiliensis (rubber tree). Lineage: Eukaryota; Viridiplantae; Streptophyta; Magnoliopsida; Malpighiales; Euphorbiaceae. The record is from RNAcentral.